CCUACGGGAGGCAGCAGUAGGGAAUAUUGGACAAUGGAGGAAACUCUGAUCCAGCCAUGCCGCGUGAUAGAUGAAGGCCCUCUGGGUUGUAAAUAUCUUUUAUCUGGGAAGAAACAAUCUUAUUCUUAAGAUCUUGACGGUACCAGAGGAAUAAGCACCGGCUAACUCCGUGCCAGCAGCCGCGGUAAUACGGAGGGUGCAAGCGUUAUCCGGAUUCACUGGGUUUAAAGGGUGCGUAGGCGGGCUGAUAAGUCAGUGGUGAAAGCUCCGAGCUUAACUUGGAAACUGCCAUUGAUACUGCCAGUCUUGAAUGUCGUAGAGGUAAGCGGAAUGUUGCAUGUAGCGGUGAAAUGCUUAGAUAUGUUACAGAACACCAAUUGCGAAGGCAGCUUACUAUGCGAUGAUUGACGCUGAGGCACGAAAGCGUGGGGAGCAAACAGGAUUAGGAUACCCUGGUAGUCCACGCCCUAAACGAUGAUUACUCGAUGUUGCGAUACACUGUCAGCGUCUUAGCGAAAGCGUUAAGUAAUCCACCUGGGGAGUACGCUCGCAAGAGUGAAACUCAAAGGAUUGACGG
RNAcentral lists this ribosomal RNA (577 nucleotides) under uncultured bacterium. Its description in RNAcentral is "bacterial SSU rRNA". It matches the Rfam family "Bacterial small subunit ribosomal RNA", at positions 338 to 916 of the family's 1533-position model. The record is from RNAcentral.